UGGGGAAUCUUGCGCAAUGGGCGAAAGCCUGACGCAGCGACGCCGCGUGGGUGAUGAAGGCCUUCGGGUUGUAAAGCCCUGUGGGGCGAGAAGAAUAAGUCGUAGCGAAUAGCUACGAUGAUGACGGUAUCGCCGUAGCAAGCACCGGCUAACUCUGUGCCAGCAGCCGCGGUAAGACAGAGGGUGCAAACGUUGUUCGGAAUCACUGGGCGUAAAGGGUGUGUAGGCGGUGCAAAAAGCCAGGCGUGAAAGCCCGGGGCUCAACCCCGGAAGUGCGCUUGGAACUAUUGCGCUAGAGUCUUGGAGAGGUUGGCGGAAUUCCAGGUGUAGAGGUGAAAUUCGUAGAUAUCUGGAAGAACACCGGCGGCGAAGGCGGCCAACUGGACAAAGACUGACGCUGAGACACGAAAGCGUGGGGAGCAAACAGG
This 428-nucleotide ribosomal RNA is filed under the name uncultured bacterium. RNAcentral's name for it is "bacterial SSU rRNA". It matches the Rfam family "Bacterial small subunit ribosomal RNA", at positions 355 to 776 of the family's 1533-position model. The record is from RNAcentral.